AUUGAACGCUGGCGGCAGGCCUAACACAUGCAAGUCGAGCGGAUGAAGGGAGCUUGCUCCUGGAUUCAGCGGCGGACGGGUGAGUAAUGCCUAGGAAUCUGCCUGGUAGUGGGGGAUAACGUCCGGAAACGGGCGCUAAUACCGCAUACGUCCUGAGGGAGAAAGUGGGGGAUCUUCGGACCUCACGCUAUCAGAUGAGCCUAGGUCGGAUUAGCUAGUUGGUGGGGUAAAGGCCUACCAAGGCGACGAUCCGUAACUGGUCUGAGAGGAUGAUCAGUCACACUGGAACUGAGACACGGUCCAGACUCCUACGGGAGGCAGCAGUGGGGAAUAUUGGACAAUGGGCGAAAGCCUGAUCCAGCCAUGCUGCGUGUGUGAAGAAGGUCUUCGGAUUGUAAAGCACUUUAAGUUGGGAGGAAGGGCAGUAAGUUAAUACCUUGCUGUUUUGACGUUACCAACAGAAUAAGCACCGGCUAACCUCGUG
This 484-nucleotide ribosomal RNA is filed under the name uncultured bacterium. RNAcentral describes it as "partial 16S ribosomal RNA". It matches the Rfam family "Bacterial small subunit ribosomal RNA", at positions 30 to 507 of the family's 1533-position model. The record is from RNAcentral.